CUACGUGCCAGCAGCCGCGGUAAUACGGAGGAUGCGAGCGUUAUCCGGAUUUAUUGGGUUUAAAGGGUGCGUAGGCGGCCUGUUAAGUCAGCGGUGAAAUCUAGGAGCUUAACUCCUAAAUUGCCAUUGAUACUGGCGGGCUUGAGUGUAGAUGAGGUAGGCGGAAUGCGUGGUGUAGCGGUGGAAUGCAUAGAUAUCACGCAGAACUCCGAUUGCGAAGGCAGCUUACUAAGGUACAACUGACGCUGAAGCACGAAAGCGUGGGUAUCAAACAGGAUUAGAUACCCUGGUAGUCCACGCAGUAAACGAUGAUAACUGGGCGUAUGCGAUAUACAGUAUGCUCCUAAGCGAAAGCGUUAAGUUAUCCACCUGGGGAGUACGCCGGCAACGGUGAAACUCAAAGGAAUUGACGGGGGCCCGCACAAGCGGAGGAACAUGUGGUUUAAUUCGAUGAUACGUGAGGAACCUUACCCGGGAUUGAAUUGCAGAGGAAGGAUUUAGAGAUA
This 506-nucleotide ribosomal RNA is filed under the name uncultured bacterium. RNAcentral describes it as "bacterial SSU rRNA". It matches the Rfam family "Bacterial small subunit ribosomal RNA", at positions 501 to 1008 of the family's 1533-position model. The record is from RNAcentral.